Molecule: ribosomal RNA, 487 nt
Filed under: Telmatactis sp. ER-2012
Lineage: Eukaryota; Metazoa; Cnidaria; Anthozoa; Actiniaria; Isophelliidae
Description: eukaryotic LSU rRNA
Rfam family: Eukaryotic large subunit ribosomal RNA
Source: RNAcentral
UAAUAAGCGGAGGAAAAGAAACUAACAAGGAUUCCCCUAGUAAUGGCGAAUGAAGCGGGAAGAGCUCAAAUUUGAAAUCUGCGUCGCCUGCGACGCCGAAUUGUAGUUUCUAGAAGCACUUUCUAGGCGGGUCCGGGGCCGUCCAAGUUGCUUGGAACAGCACGUCAUAGAGGGUGACAACCCCGUCUGUGGCGGAACCGGCCGCUGACGAUGUGCUUUCGACGAGUCGGGUUGUUUGGGAAUGCAGCCCAAAAUGGGUGGUAAACUCCAUCUAAAGCUAAAUACUGUCACGAGACCGAUAGCGAACAAGUACCGUGAGGGAAAGAUGAAAAGUACGUGAAACCGUUAAAAGGGAAACGGAUGGGGUCAGCAAUGCGUUGCAGUGCGCCGAGACCGUUCUCGGUCGCUGGGACGGUGACUUCGCACCACGCGCCAAGGACGCUGGCGAUCAAAUGGCCUCAUUCGACCCGUCUUGAAACACGGACCC